RNAcentral lists this ribosomal RNA (253 nucleotides) under uncultured bacterium. RNAcentral describes it as "partial 16S ribosomal RNA". It matches the Rfam family "Bacterial small subunit ribosomal RNA", at positions 524 to 776 of the family's 1533-position model. The record is from RNAcentral.
UACGAAGGGGGCUAGCGUUGCUCGGAAUUACUGGGCGUAAAGGGCGCGUAGGCGGCCUGCUAAGUCGGACGUGAAAUCCCUCGGCUCAACCGGGGAACUGCGUCCGAUACUGGUGGGCUCGAAUCCGGGAGAGGGAUGUGGAAUUCCAGGUGUAGCGGUGAAAUGCGUAGAUAUCUGGAGGAACACCGGUGGCGAAGGCGGCAUCCUGGACCGGUAUUGACGCUGAUGCGCGAAAGCCAGGGGAGCAAACGGG